RNAcentral lists this long non-coding RNA (892 nucleotides) under Ornithorhynchus anatinus (platypus). Its description in RNAcentral is "lncRNA (ENSOANG00000038328.1)". Lineage: Eukaryota; Metazoa; Chordata; Mammalia; Monotremata; Ornithorhynchidae. The record is from RNAcentral.
AAGGGCUCCAGGUAUGGGGGCCAAAACAGGUUCAGCAGGGAUGAUUAGCCGCAGAAGAACCUCAGCUUUCUGGACUGACUCCUCCAGGAAGCAGGAAAGGAGAGUAAGAGUCCCCUGCCUCAUGUAUCCUAAGGGGCAGUUAAGUGAAAUCAUCGGGAAAGACGCUAAGGAAAGAAGACCAUUUAUGAUGCAACAACCUCUCUGUACCAUCAUCAUUAGAGGUUUGUAUUUAUUUAUGUGUUUGCUCGUGGCUAAAUGUGUCCUCCUGGGCAUCCAGAGCCAAGCUUCGAUACAAAUGCCCCUUGUCAAUCAGUGGAAUUUACUGAGUGUGUACUGUGUGCGGAGCACUGCACUGAAUGCUUUCAAGAGCACCAGAUGAGCUUCAGUAGACAUUAUCCCUGCCCUCAAGAAUGUGUCUCUUGGACCCUCAAGAAUGUGUCUCUUGGACCCCCUUCCUGGACCCCCUUGCUGCAUUUCCUGUGGUCUUCUCAGGACAGGAGUAGGGAGGGUAGAGAGUGGUGGUGGCGGAGGGGGUUUGAUGACCCAGAUGACCCUAGUGUGUCCCUCUCUGCCAGGGAAAAAUACCCCCUCCUGGUCAACAGAAGCAGCAUGGUGUAGUGGAUGGAGCACGGGCCUGGGAGUCAAAAGUACCUGGAUUCUAAUCAUGGCUCCACCAUCUGUCUGGGUGACCAUGGGCAAAUCACUUCACUUCUCUGGCCCUCAAUUAUCUUAUCUAUAAAAUGGGGAUUAAGACUGUGAGCCUCAUCUGAGUCAGGGACUGUGUCCAACCUGAUAACCUCGUAUCUACCCCAGCACCUGGAACAGUGCUUGGCACAUAGUAAGCACUUAACAAAUACUAUUAGAGGGGAAGCAGCAUGGCUCAGUGGAAAGA